AGGGUCAGUAAGACCCAGUUCUUCUCCUGUGCAGAGGGAACUUUUACUUAGCUGGAAUUGAACCUCGUGGUCCGAGUAUGUGAAGGGAUUCAGGGUCCAGAGUGCACCCCAGAACAUAGGAGAUAGCUCUAUGUCCCCGUUUCCCUCAGGAGCCUUCUCCUCACUCCUGCUGCCUAGAACAAGGGGAGGAGAAUCUCCACUGCCUGACCUGCUGCUUCAUGCCCCUCCCUAUCUCUACUCUCCAUUCCCUCUGAGCCCUCCAGACCCUAGGAGGAGUAAGAGGGAGGUCCUUCGAGGCUUAUCUCGAUUUCCAUCCUCUCAUUCCGGUGCUGGUCAUAUUCUGGGUCAGCAACCACAGAACAUCCCAAGGCUGGGUGCUCAGGAAUCAGAGAGGAUGCCUGGACCAGAAGCCAGCACCACCCUCAGGGCUUCACUGGAGGAGCUGUCACUGGGGCCAGUGCGGUUUCCCCUACUGCUGCAGGACCAGGAGAGGAUUCGUCCAACAGUGAAUCAGAGCAGGAGGGGCCCCAGAAGCUGGUCCAUAAAGUGUCCACCUCUGGACAGAUGGGGACCAAGUAGCAUUGAUCUUCCCAGACUGAUAACUGCUGAAAUCCAGGUCACGGCUCACCUCACCAAACUCAAAGCAAGGAGUGAGGAGAGGGAGACUCUAGACAGCCACCGGACUACAACCAUCGGCUCUGAAAUAAUGAGAAACUAUUGUAAGCAGACAGAUGCCUUGAUGUCUCUGAGAAGUUGCAAAAGAGACAGCUGUCUAUGAAGAUAGAAGCUAGACCGCCUGUCAAGCUGACAUGGAAUGAAGAGCUACAGUUCCAUCUUCAUUACAUCCUGAAAUUGAGCUCCAUCUUCAAAUUGAUGCCUCAGAAUCCAUAGGAGCCAUCAAGCAAAGAAAUACACCCUGACAGGCAAAAAAGGGAUGUGGAAUGGAGUGGGAUGUUCCCAGUGAGGAGCCCAGAAUGACCAGGUAAGUAGGAAUUUCCACAACACAUUACUAGAGCAAGAAGGGGAAUCCAUUGAAAAGGUAUACUAGAAAUAUUUGAGAGAAAUAAGCAAACUUGAAAUUGUUAUGUGGGGUCAAUUUAUGAGUCUAACCAGUUAAGUACCAAUCAGUUUCUUCAUGUUCCUGGCCUUGGAUUUUUCCCCCUCUUACCUCUAGAUUCCGGAUUGUAACAUUAAGAGUGGCCACUUUCAACGAUCACCCUAGCUUACAACAGUUCCUGGCUACUUUUUUAUUCUUAAUUCCUAGAAAUCAGGAUUUUAUGCUGAAGCUUGAUUUUGAUCACAGGUGAUUAAAGUUAGAGAUGUCUUAUUCUUCCUAACCAGAGAUGUCAGACUAAGGCGGUGAAACUGGAAAAAACAUGGCCAAGUCUUUCUGUUACCUUGGGAGCUGAGGGUGGCCAUCUGGUAUCUGUCAUAUGCACCAAUCAGCUGAGAAAUUCACUCUUCCCAGGAAAUACAAAUGGCAGGAGAAGCAAUGGCUCAUCAUGGAAGCCUCCCAGUUCCCAGUGGCUCCAGUCAUCCCUUUAAUUGCUGACCCUUCAACUGCAUUUCUGCCCCUGUAUUCUAUGAUACCUUGUGUCUUGUAUAAAUAAUCCCCUCUUUCUGCUUAAGUUAGUUUGCUUUGGGUUUCUGUUUGAUACCCAAAGAGUCCUAAUAUGGUAAUAACAAGAUACUUCCUGAAACCCUGCUGUCCUCUACUUCUGUAUGUGUCCCCCACCUGCAUUCUAAGGAUAGAUAAGCUUUCCCUUAUUUCUCUUUUAGGCUUUGUAUAUUCCCUGCUUUAGAAAUCUGAGCAUCACAAUUCACAAUCCCUCUCUAUGCCUUUGCUUUGACUCCCUGGCUUUUACUCCCUAUCCUUGAAGGAAAUGCUAACAAGGAAACGGAGAACACCUGGGAAGGUCAUUUAUAUAUGCCUGGGCUUAUGAACAGAUAUGGGCUCCAUUAGUCUGAAUCUCCCAGGACAUAUGAUAAAAAGGUUAAAAAACAAGAAAGAGCCAGGCAUAUAAACAUAGCAGACAAUAUUGAAAGUCAAAAAAAAAAAAAAAAAAAAAAGAAGGAUGAACAUAAUAGUCACAGGAGGAAAUGUGGAGACAAGGUGUAGAGCAGAGAAUGAAGCAAAAGCCAUCCUGAGCCUUCCCCACCUGGAGAUCCAUCCCACAUAUAGACACCAAACCCAGACAAUAUGGAAGAUGACAAUAAGUGCUUUCUGACAGGAUCCUGCUAUAGGUGUCUCCUCAGAGGCUCCACAUGAGAGUGACAAAUAAUAAGGCACAUUUUUGCAGCCACUCUUUGGAUUGAAUAUAGAGUCCCCAGUGGAAGAGUUGGAGAAAGGACUGAAUGAGCUAUAGGGGGUUGCAACCAUAGGAAGAACAACAAUAUCAACCAACCAUAUCCCCUAGAACUCCCAGGGACUAAACCACCAAUCACACAUGGAGUGACCCAUGGCUCUAGGCACAUUGUGCCAGAUGACGUCCUUGUUGGACAUCAAUGAGAGGAAAGGCCCUUGGUCCUUUAAAGGCUCGAUGCCCCAGUGUAGGGGAAUGUCAGGGUAGUAAGAGAACACUGUGUUCUAAAUAACUUUAAAAGUCCCACAGUCUUUACAUAUUCUUAAAAUUUCAAUCUCUUUAAAAUAUCCAUCUCUUUUAAAAUUCAAAGUCUUUUUACAAUUAAAAGUCUCAACUGUGGGCUCCACUAAAACAGUUUCUUCCUUCAAGAGGAAAAUAUCAGGGCAUAGUCACAAUCAAAAGCAAAAGUCAAUCUCCAACCGUCCAAUGUCUGGGAUCCAACUCACGAUCUUCUGGGCUCUUCCAAGGGCUUGGGUCACUUCUCCAGCCAGGCCCUUUGUAGCACACGAGUCAUCCUCUAGGAGCACCCUCAUAGAAGCAGGUGGAAGGGGCAUGAGAUAAGUGGUUCUAGGCAGGUAACCAGAAAAAAGGGCUAACAUUUGAAAUGUAAGAUUAAAGUGUUUUAAAAUAGAAAAAAAAUGAAGACCCAGAAAUUAAACUGUACUUAUGGACACUUGAUCUUCGCCAAAUUAAAAAAUAUACAAUAGAAAAAAGAAACACCUAAAAUAAAUGUCGCUGGUCUAACUGGGAGUAAGUAUGUAGAAAAAAGAAAGUAGAUGCAUAUUUGUCACCUGGCACAAUACUCAAGUCCAGGUUGAUUAAAGAUCUCAACAUAAAACCAGAUUCACUGAAUCUAACUGAAGAGAAAGCAGGAAAGAGCCUCAAACUUAUGGGAAUGGGGAUAAAUGUUAUAAACGGGAACUCCAAUAGCUCAGACUCUAACAUCAAAGUUUAUAAAUGGGCCACAAGAAACUGAAAAGCUUCUAUAAGACAAAGGGCAUAGCCAGUAGGACAGAUUGACAAACUACAUAUUGGGAGAAAAAUGUUCACUAACCCCCCAUCCAGUGGAGCACUAAUAUCCAAAAUAUAUAAAGAACUCAAGUAGAUAACCACCAUAAGAGCUAAGAACACAAUCUAAAAAUGUGGUAGAGAACUAAACACAACAUUCACAACAACUCAUCUUGAAUGGCUGAGAAGCACUGAAGAAGUGUGCAACGUCCUUUGUCUUCAGAGAAAUGAAAACCAAAAUGACCCUGAGGCUGGUUUCCAGCGGUAUACUUUCCAGUGAAGAAUGCUAAGAUCAAAAAAACUCAUGUGAAAGCAUAUGUUGGUGAGAAUUUGAAGAAAGAGGAACAUUCUUCCAUUUCUGGUGGGACUGCAAAGUGCUAUGGCAACUCUGGAAACCAAUAUGGAGUUCCUCAGAAAUUUUCAGAUUGAUCUACCUGAGAGACAAGGACCAACCUUACUGGUGCAUGGCCUGCUACUUUCAGUUUUCACUUGAUGGCUUGUUACUCAGAUUUUCUUAUUGGGCUAUGACUUUGCUCUUGUCUUUCUGAUUCUCAAGCAGUUCUCUGUUCUUACACAUUUUUUGAGAUACCUCUAGCCACUGGGACUUAUUUAUACCUUCAAAUCCCUCUAAAUUGGGGGACUUCUAAUACUUGGAGAAGCUGAGUGACAAAAGCAAAGUAUGUUGAGCCCUUUGGUGUCCAGUGCACACGAAUCUAUGGGAGUCUAGAUAUGCUAAUCCUCUAGAACAUUCUUUAGGAAAGCAGCAGUAUGCUCUCAGGUCCCUGUGUGACCUCACCUUUGUCAGCUUUGUCGGCUUUUCUACUGCUGGUCUGAGAACAAUUGGAAACUCCUGGAAUAGAUGUCUCAUAUCUAAUUUCCUUUGUCAUUGUUAGUAUACUAGUGGGAGUAGGUUUGAUGGAAAUAUACUCUCAAACAUUAAUCAAAACAGUGCUUUUUAUGGACCAUCAGGAUGAAGUACCAAGUUCAAGGAAAGUUCUGCACGAACUGGUCAAAGCCAGCCAAGUGGAGCAAGAAGAAAGCCAAGCAGAAGUCAUUCAUUCCCAGCACCCUCAGCACCUUUCUCCAGGACAGGGUCACUUAGUUUUGGUAGGAGAAGGGAUGACCUGAGAUAGCUGUCCCAUAUUCCCUCAGAAAAGAAGGGGCCAGGAAUAUUGGGGAAAGAUUAUGGGUGUCACGGGGCAGUAAGGAGAGUGUAAAGUGAAUAAGUAAAUAGAUAUUAAUACAAAAAUAUUUAAUUAUUUAACAAAAUGGCACAAAAUGUAUUGUUAUAGUAAUUCUAGUGUAUACACAGGCAAUCAGUUUAACACCCAGAUAGACUAGAUGUUGUAAACUAGGGUGCCUUUGUUAUUGACAUAAAGUAUGCACGUUGCAAACAUAAAUAAAAAAGAAAGAUGUUCAUCCCAAA
Molecule: RNA transcript, 4797 nt
Organism: Mus musculus (house mouse)
Lineage: Eukaryota; Metazoa; Chordata; Mammalia; Rodentia; Muridae
Gene name: predicted gene 3618
Exons: 4
Source: RefSeq, a predicted model, not a curated record